Molecule: ribosomal RNA, 361 nt
Filed under: uncultured bacterium
Lineage: Bacteria
Description: bacterial SSU rRNA
Rfam family: Bacterial small subunit ribosomal RNA
Source: RNAcentral
UUAUCCGGAUUUAUUGGGUUUAAAGGGAGCGUAGGCGGGUGCUUAAGUCAGUUGUGAAAGUUUGCGGCUCAACCGUAAAAUUGCAGUUGAUACUGGGUACCUUGAGUGCAGCAUAGGUAGGCGGAAUUCGUGGUGUAGCGGUGAAAUGCUUAGAUAUCACGAAGAACUCCGAUUGCGAAGGCAGCUUACUGGACUGUAACUGACGCUGAUGCUCGAAAGUGUGGGUAUCAAACAGGAUUAGAUACCCUGGUAGUCCACACAGUAAACGAUGAAUACUCGCUGUUGGCGAUACACAGUCAGCGGCCAAGCGAAAGCAUUAAGUAUUCCACCUGGGGAGUACGCCGGCAACGGUGAAACUCAA